RNAcentral lists this ribosomal RNA (321 nucleotides) under Triticum aestivum (bread wheat). Its description in RNAcentral is "partial small subunit ribosomal RNA". Lineage: Eukaryota; Viridiplantae; Streptophyta; Magnoliopsida; Poales; Poaceae. The record is from RNAcentral.
AUGUAUGCUAAUUUUGGUGGUCCUGUUUCGUUUUGUCAGGUACUCAUCUUGUGUAUUGCUCUGUAUAUCUUAUUUCUUUGGCUUCCUUUGGACCUACGUAGUGUUGCGUCGUCAGUGAACAGAGUUAGCCUAUUCGCAAAAAGAAAAAGAAAAAGAAAGAAAAAGCGAACAGAGUUAGUCCAGUUUUCUUAUAUUUAUUUUGCAGGUGCCUCGAUAACCAACUUUCUUUUUUUGAACCGGAACACCUUGUAUUCCUCUGUAUCUUAUUUCUUUGGCUUCCUUUGGACUUAUGUAGUAGUGUUGGACUGUUGUAUCGUUUAG